RNAcentral lists this unclassified non-coding RNA (175 nucleotides) under uncultured Phomopsis. Its description in RNAcentral is "sequence contains ITS1". Lineage: Eukaryota; Fungi; Ascomycota; Sordariomycetes; Diaporthales; Cytosporaceae. The record is from RNAcentral.
CUGGAACGCGCUUCGGCGCACCCAGAAACCCUUUGUGAACUUAUACCUACUGUUGCCUCGGCGCAGGCCGGCCUUUUGUGACAAAGGCCCCCUGGAGACAGGGAGCAGCCCGCCGGCGGCCAACUAAACUCUUGUUUCUUUAGUGAAUCUCUGAGUAAAAAACAUAAAUGAAUCA